CGACACACAUCCACCACGAACUUUGGGGUGAAAUUUACGAAUUUAAACGAUUUCAGGAUGCACCUGCAUAUCCCGCCGACCUGUCAGAGUGUAAAUUGAUUUGUCUCGUUUGUCGAACUUGUCUCGGGAUUUGUAGAAUUUAAGUGUCUAACUUACAUGAUUCGGUUCCAGUUGUCAGGAAAUAUCUUGUGGGUGAGUUUGUGGUUAACUUCAUGCAGUUUCACAACUAAAAUACAAAGAGAAGACUAUUGCUUUUACCAGCAAAACCCUUGGCCUAUGGAGUCAUCUCAAUAAAAACCUCUAAAAGUACUCAUUAUACCUUUAAUACCUUAAGGUGUGGGUAGUACCAGAAAUGUGCGCUCAAAAGUGAUGAAAUGGGUGGGUUUUGUCACAGGUAGUUUGAGCAGUCAAACAUUUUUUACCUCAAACACGAUCAGGUCAAUCCAGAAUCCGAUAUCCUUGUCAGAUCGUAAAAGCUGCUGCUGCUACCUGAAGUCUGCUAUGUUUCCACCAAUUAAAAAUUCUUCUUAGUUCAACCAAACUGGUCUCCUUCAACUGUAUGCCCAUUGUGGUGAAGAGGAAGGAAACAGGUGCUGCUGUCACCAGUCCACAAAGGAAAAUGUCACAAACUUCUCAAAGAUUUAAAUUGUUUCUUCACCAUCUGCUAUUAAAUUAAACUAUAAAUC
Molecule: long non-coding RNA, 686 nt
Organism: Frankliniella occidentalis (western flower thrips)
Lineage: Eukaryota; Metazoa; Arthropoda; Insecta; Thysanoptera; Thripidae
Exons: 4
Source: RefSeq, a predicted model, not a curated record